Molecule: ribosomal RNA, 468 nt
Filed under: uncultured bacterium
Lineage: Bacteria
Description: partial 16S ribosomal RNA
Rfam family: Bacterial small subunit ribosomal RNA
Source: RNAcentral
GACGAACGCUGGCGGCGUGCUUAACACAUGCAAGUCGAACGGAAAGGCCCUGCUCUUGUGGGAUGCUCGAGUGGCGAACGGGUGAGUAACACGUGAGUAACCUGCCCUUGACUUUGGGAUAACUUCAGGAAAAUGGGGCUAAUACCGCAUAGGAGCUCCUGCUGCAUGGUGGGGGUGGGAAAAUUUCGGCGGUUGGGGAUGGACUCGCGGUUUAUCAGCUUGUUGGUGAGGUAGUGGCUUACCAAGGCUUUGACGGGUAGCCGGCCUGAGAGGGUGACCGGCCACAAUGGGACUGGGAAACGGCCCGGACGCCUACGGGAGGCAGCAGUGAGGAAUAUUGCACAAUGGGCGGAAGCCGUAUGCAGCAACUCCGCGUGCUGGAUGACUGCCGUCGGGUUGUAAACCGCUUGCGCCUGUGACGAAGCGUGAGUGACGGUAAUGGGUAAAGAAGCACCGGCUAACUACGUG